RNAcentral lists this ribosomal RNA (440 nucleotides) under uncultured bacterium. RNAcentral's name for it is "partial 16S ribosomal RNA". It matches the Rfam family "Bacterial small subunit ribosomal RNA", at positions 338 to 795 of the family's 1533-position model. The record is from RNAcentral.
CCUACGGGAGGCAGCAGUAGGGAAUAUUGCUCAAUGGGGGCAACCCUGAACCAGCAACGCCGCGUGGAGGAUGAAGGUUUUCGGAUUGUAAACUUCUUUUGUUAGAGAAGAUAAUGACGGUAUCUAACGAAUAAGCACCGGCUAACUCCGUGCCAGCAGCCGCGGUAAUACGGAGGGUGCAAGCGUUACUCGGAAUCACUGGGCGUAAAGAGCGCGUAGGCGGGAUUGCAAGUCAGAUGUGAAAUCCUAUGGCUUAACCAUAGAACUGCAUUUGAAACUGUUAUUCUAGAGUAUGGGAGAGGUAGGUGGAAUUCUUGGUGUAGGGGUAAAAUCCGUAGAGAUCAAGAGGAAUACUCAUUGCGAAGGCGACCUGCUGGAACAUAACUGACGCUGAUGCGCGAAAGCGUGGGGAGCAAACAGGAUUAGAUACCCGUGUAGUC